This 1236-nucleotide long non-coding RNA is filed under the name Salmo salar (Atlantic salmon). RNAcentral describes it as "lncRNA (ENSSSAG00000105102.1)". The record is from RNAcentral. Lineage: Eukaryota; Metazoa; Chordata; Actinopteri; Salmoniformes; Salmonidae.
CUCUUAUACAUGUGUAAUUGACAUAAAAAUCCCCAUCUAGAGAUGGCCCACAGUCCGGGACCGAGUGAGACGGCCCACAGUCCGGGACCGAGUGAGACGGCCCACAGUCCGGGACCGAGUGAGACGGCCUACAGUCCGGAACCGAGUGAGACGGCCUACAGUCCGGAACCGAGUGAGACGGCCUACAGUCCCGGGACCGAGUGAGACGGCCUACGGUUCGGGACCGAGUGAGACGGCCUACGGUUCGGGACCGAGUGAGACGGCCUACGGUUCGGGACCGAGUGAGAUGGCCAACGGUCCGGGACCGAGUGAGACGGCCUACAGUCCAGAACCGGUGCAGCCAGAGUCGCCCUUCAGUCUGGAACCGGCGCAGCCAGAGUCGCCCUUCAGUCUGGAACCGGCGCAGCCAGAGUCGCCCUACAGUUCGGAGCUCCCAGAGUCGCCCUAAGGUCUGGAGCUCCCAGAGUCGCCCUACGGUCCGGAGCUCCCAGAGUCGCCCUACGGUCCGGAGCUCCCAGAGUCGCCCUACGGUCCGGAGCUCCCAGAGUCGCCCUACGGUCCGGAGCUCCCAGAGUCGCCCUACGGUCCGGAGCUCCCAGAGUCGCACUACAGUCCGGAGCUCCCAGAGUCCCCUUCUGAGCUCCCUUCUGCCCGAGGUCUACAGCGAAGCGCUUCUGCCGGAGGUCUACAGCGAAGCGCUUCUGCCCGAGGUCUACAGCGAAGCGCUUCUGCCCGAGGUCUACAGCGAAGCGCUUCUGCCCGAGGUCUACAGCGAAGCGCUUCUGCCCGAGGUCUACAGCGAAGCGCUUCUGCCCGAGGUCUACAGCGAAGCGCUUCUGCCCGAGGUCUACAGCGAAGCGCUUCAGCCCAAGGUAUUCAGCGGGUUAGGUGGGGGACUAAGGCCAGAGCCUGAGCCACCUCCACAGCAGGAGUAUUGGGGAGGGGGGGUGUAGCACGGGAACCGUCGGUGACGGUAGCCACCCUCCCUUCCCUGACAUUAGUUUGGGGGGUUUAUUUUUGUGUUUAAUUUUUGUGUGAGGUGCAUCCGGGGUCUGCACCUUUGGGAGGGGGGUACUGUCACGUCCUGACCAGUAAAGGGGUUAUUUGUUAUUGUAGUUUGGUCAGGACAUGGCAGGGGGGUGUUUGUUUUAUGUGGUUCGGGGUUUAUUAGGAUAUGUGUUUUAUGUAGAGGGGUGUUUGUUUAGAGUAUUCUGGAGUUUCUAGUUAUGUCUAUGU